Molecule: long non-coding RNA, 618 nt
Organism: Ictidomys tridecemlineatus (thirteen-lined ground squirrel)
Lineage: Eukaryota; Metazoa; Chordata; Mammalia; Rodentia; Sciuridae
Source: Ensembl
CAUUGUGUUCGCGAGCGGGGCUCGCCGGGAUAUGUAGUUUCCGCUCUCUCCCAGCGGACUUUGCCGGGGGGAAUCGGCUGUGUUACACUAAUUUCGGCAAAUACUCGCCCUGCAGUAGACCCGAGUCCGAGAUUAGAAAAUGCUUUUAGUUGUAGGAGGACUAAAGUUAUCAAGUAAAUUCUGAACGAUAGAAAAAUAAUAGAUUUUUGUUUACGAGCAUUUUAAAAAAUGGUUAAAAAAAAACACCCCAAAUUUCUUGUUAAAGGAAAAGAAUAAUUCCCUCUUCGACGUUCGUGAUGGUGAGAUGGAGAGUAAACCACAUAGAGUCUGUUCUCUUGUCUUUUCAUUUCUUUGGCCCAACUUAUUUCUUGCCUUGACAGUUAGCAGGUGUCUGACUGAAUUCAUCUGGCUAUUCUGAUUCUUCUGAGAGCCAAGCCCCAUGAGCUGGAGAGACUAACCGAGGAGCCUCAGCUGUUAAGACAUAAUCAUCUUACUGAGUCCAUCCAGCGAAAGAAAAAUGAGCACCGCGUAUGUAAUUCAGAUGAAGGGACCAAAUAAAGCUUUCAAUAUGGAAAGUAGAAAUGUAUUUUAAAACGUCAAUGCAAAAACAGUUUUGUU